RNAcentral lists this ribosomal RNA (468 nucleotides) under uncultured bacterium. RNAcentral describes it as "partial 16S ribosomal RNA". It matches the Rfam family "Bacterial small subunit ribosomal RNA", at positions 28 to 507 of the family's 1533-position model. The record is from RNAcentral.
GACGAACGCUGGCGGCGUGCCUAACACAUGCAAGUCGAACGGAAAGGCCCUGCAUUUGUGGGGUGCUCGAGUGGCGAACGGGUGAGUAACACGUGAGUAACCUGCCCUUGACUUUGGGAUAACUUCAGGAAACUGGGGCUAAUACCGGAUAGGAGCUCCUGCUGCAUGGUGGGGGUUGGAAAGUUUCGGCGGUUGGGGAUGGACUCGCGGCUUAUCAGCUUGUUGGUGGGGUAGUGGCUUACCAAGGCUUUGACGGGUAGCCGGCCUGAGAGGGUGACCGGCCACAUUGGGACUGAGAUACGGCCCAGACUCCUACGGGAGGCAGCAGUGGGGAAUAUUGCACAAUGGGCGGAAGCCUGAUGCAGCAACGCCGCGUGCGGGAUGACGGCCUUCGGGUUGUAAACCGCUUUCGCCUGUGACGAAGCGUGAGUGACGGUAAUGGGUAAAGAAGCACCGGCUAACUACGUG